RNAcentral lists this unclassified non-coding RNA (272 nucleotides) under Hevea brasiliensis (rubber tree). Lineage: Eukaryota; Viridiplantae; Streptophyta; Magnoliopsida; Malpighiales; Euphorbiaceae. The record is from RNAcentral.
AGGAAGUUGAUCCUUGUGAAGAUCUAAGUGACGAGGACAUAAGAAUAGCUAUCCACAAUGCAACUGGUCCAAGAAAUGCGCUAUUUGUGCCAGAGGUCCCAUUUGAAGUUUUGGUUAGACGACAGAUCGCUAGGCUGCUUGAUCCUAGCCUCCAGUGCUUGCGAUUCGUCUAUGAUGAACUUAUAAAGAUUAGUCGUGCUUGUGAAACAGUUGAAAUGCAACGCUUCUCAGAGUUAAGAAGGCGACUAGAGGAUGUCACUGCAAGGUUUCUA